CUGGCCCUAAACGAUGUCUACUAGGUCGGAGUCACUCUGACGUGUUUCUGGCCGUAAUGAAAACUUUAAGUAGACCGCCUGGGGAGUACGGUCGCAAGGCUAAAACUCAAAGGAAUUGACGGGGGCUCACACAAGCGGUGGAGCAUGUUGCUUAAUUCGAUGCAACGCGCAGAACCUUAUCCUGGGCUUGACAUGUACGAGCCUCUACCUGGAAACAGGAUAGAGUUUCCCUUCGGGGUGUAAGCGUACACAGGUGC
Molecule: ribosomal RNA, 257 nt
Filed under: uncultured bacterium
Lineage: Bacteria
Description: partial 16S ribosomal RNA
Rfam family: Bacterial small subunit ribosomal RNA
Source: RNAcentral